UACGUAGGGUGCGAGCGUUAAUCGGAAUUACUGGGCGUAAAGCGUGCGCAGGCGGUUUUGUAAGUCUGACGUGAAAUCCCCGGGCUCAACCUGGGAAUUGCGUUGGAGACUGCAAGGCUAGAAUCUGGCAGAGGGGGGUAGAAUUCCACGUGUAGCAGUGAAAUGCGUAGAGAUGUGGAGGAAUACCGAUGGCGAAGGCAGCCCCCUGGGAUAACACUGACGCUCAUGCACGAAAGCGUGGGGAGCAAACAGG
This 253-nucleotide ribosomal RNA is filed under the name uncultured bacterium. Its description in RNAcentral is "partial 16S ribosomal RNA". It matches the Rfam family "Bacterial small subunit ribosomal RNA", at positions 524 to 776 of the family's 1533-position model. The record is from RNAcentral.